CGGGACACGUGGUAUCCUGUCUGAAUAUGGGGGGACCAUCCUCCAAGGCUAAAUACUCCUGACUGACCGAUAGUGAACCAGUACCGUGAGGGAAAGGCGAAAAGAACCCCGGCGAGGGGAGUGAAAAAGAACCUGAAACCGUGUACGUACAAGCAGUGGGAGCACGCUUAGGCGUGUGACUGCGUACCUUUUGUAUAAUGGGUCAGCGACUUAUAUUCUGUAGCAAGGUUAACCGAAUAGGGGAGCCGAAGGGAAACCGAGUCUUAACUGGGCGUUAAGUUGCAGGGUAUAGACCCGAAACCCGGUGAUCUAGCCAUGGGCAGGUUGAAGGUUGGGUAACACUAACUGGAGGACCGAACCGACUAAUGUUGAAAAAUUAGCGGAUGACUUGUGGCUGGGGGUGAAAGGCCAAUCAAACCGGGAGAUAGCUGGUUCUCCCCGAAAGCUAUUUAGGUAGCGCCUCGUGAAUUCAUCUCCGGGGGUAGAGCACUGUUUCGGCAAGGGGGUCAUCCCGACUUACCAACCCGAUGCAAACUGCGAAUACCGGAGAAUGUUAUCACGGGAGACACACGGCGGGUGCUAACGUCCGUCGUGAAGAGGGAAACAACCCAGACCGCCAGCUAAGGUCC
RNAcentral lists this ribosomal RNA (629 nucleotides) under Escherichia coli. RNAcentral's name for it is "partial 23S ribosomal RNA". It matches the Rfam family "Bacterial large subunit ribosomal RNA", at positions 418 to 1047 of the family's 2925-position model. Lineage: Bacteria; Pseudomonadati; Pseudomonadota; Gammaproteobacteria; Enterobacterales; Enterobacteriaceae. The record is from RNAcentral.